UUCUGAUUGAUAACAUUUGAGUGAGUGGCGGACGGGUGAGUAACACGUGGGUAACCUGCCCUAAAGUGGGGGAUAACAUUUGGAAACAGAUGCUAAUACCGUAUAACAAUGACAACCGCAUGGUUGUUAUUUAAAAGAUGGUUCUGCUAUCACUAAGAGAUGGUCCCGCGGUGCAUUAGCUAGUUGGUAAGGUAAAGGCUCACCAAGACCGUGAUGCAUAGCCGACCUGAGAGGGUAAUCGGCCACACUGGGACUGAGACACGGCCCAGACUCC
This 274-nucleotide ribosomal RNA is filed under the name uncultured Lactobacillales bacterium. RNAcentral describes it as "partial 16S ribosomal RNA". It matches the Rfam family "Bacterial small subunit ribosomal RNA", at positions 70 to 339 of the family's 1533-position model. Lineage: Bacteria; Bacillati; Bacillota; Bacilli; Lactobacillales. The record is from RNAcentral.